Molecule: ribosomal RNA, 440 nt
Filed under: uncultured bacterium
Lineage: Bacteria
Description: partial 16S ribosomal RNA
Rfam family: Bacterial small subunit ribosomal RNA
Source: RNAcentral
CCUACGGGGGGCAGCAGUGGGGAAUAUUGCACAAUGGGGGAAACCCUGAUGCAGCGACGCCGCGUGAGCGAUGAAUUAUUUCGGUAUGUAAAGCUCUAUCAGCAGGGAAGUAAAUGACGGUACCUGACUAAGAAGCCCCGGCUAACUACGUUCCAGCAGCCGAGGUAAUACGGAGGGGGCCAGCGUUAUCCGGAUUUACUGGGUGUAAAGGGAGCGUAGACGGCGAUGCAAGCCAGAUGUGAAAGCCCGGGGCUCAACCCCGGGACUGCCUUUGGAACUGUAUGGCUGGAGUGUCGGAGAGGUAGGCGGAAUUCGUAGUGUAGCGGUGAAAUGCGUAGAUAUUAGGAGGAACACCAGUGGCGAAGGCGGCCUGCUGGACGAUGACUGACGUUGAGGCUCGAAAGCGUGGGGAGCAAACAGGAUUAGAUACCCGGGUAGUC